Chinchilla lanigera (long-tailed chinchilla) is the source of this 6493-nucleotide RNA transcript. It is a transcript of the gene named retinoic acid induced 1, with no coding region annotated. The transcript has 7 exons. The record is from RefSeq and is a predicted model, not a curated record. NCBI's taxonomy places the organism in Eukaryota, Metazoa, Chordata, Mammalia, Rodentia, Chinchillidae.
GGGCGGAGAGAAAGGAAUCGUGCGAGCGAGCGAGCGAGCGCUUACAUUUUUUUUCUCCCAAGGAUCUCAUCUGGCCGCCGCGUUCUGGAGGAGGCCAGGGGGAGAGCGCGCGCGCGCAAGGAGGACGGAGACGGCGGGGAAAGGGAGACGGCGAGACGCGCAGCGCCGGCGCCCCGGAGACCCAGGAGGAGCCCGCAGAUAACCAGCCCGAGUCAUGCAGUCUUUUAGAGAAAGGUGUGGUUUCCAUGGCAAACAACAGAGCUACCCGCAGACCUCGCAGGAAACAUCGCGUCUGGAGAAUUACAGGCAGCCGAGUCAGGCUGGGCUGAGCUGCGACCGGCAGCGGCUGCUUGCGAAGGACUAUUACACUCCGCAGCCUUACCCGGGCUAUGAGGGCAGCACUGGCACACCCUCUGGCACGGGGGCUGCGGUCGCCGCCGAGAAGUACCACCGAGGCAGCAAGGCCCUGCCCUCACAGCAGGCCCUUCCGGGGAGGUCAGCUUUCCCUGGCUAUGGCGGUGUCCAGGACAGCAGCCCUUACCCGGGACGCUACUCUGGCGAGGAAGGCCUGCAGGCCUGGGGUACCCCACAGCCACCACCUCCUCAGCCACAGCCCCUGCCAGGGGGUGUGGGCAAGUAUGAUGAGAACUUGAUGAAAAAGACAGCAGUGCCCCCUGGCAGGCAGUACCCAGAGCAGGGCGCCCAGCUUCCCUUCCGGACUCACUCUCUGCACGUCCAGCAGCCGCCGCCGCCGCCGCCUCAGCAGCUGCCGCAGCCCCAGCAGCCUCUGGUGUACCCCAAACUUCAAAGGCAGAAACUACAGAAUGACAUUGCCUCACCUUUGCCUUUCCCCCAGGGUGGCCACUUCCCGCAGCACUCCCAGUCCUUUCCUGCCUCUUCCACCUACUCGUCCUCUGUCCAGGGUGCCGCGCAGGGGGCCCACUCCUACAAGAGUUGCACAGCACCGUCCACCCAGCCCCACGACAGGCCGCUCACCGCCAAUACCAGCCUGGCCCCGGGGCCGCGGGUCCCAAACCUUCACGCCUACCAGUCGGGCCGCCUCGGCUAUGACCAGCAGCAGCAACAGCAGCAGCAGCAGCAGCAGCAAACACUCCAAAGCCGGCACCAUGCCCAGGAAACCCUCCACUACCAAAACCUCGCCAAAUACCAACACUAUGGGCAGCAAGGCCAGGGCUACUGCCAGCCAGAUGCCUCUGUCAGGACGCCGGAGCAGUACUACCAGACCUUCAGCCCCAGCUCCAGCCACUCCCCUGCCCGCUCUGUGGGACGCUCACCGUCCUACAGCUCCACUCCCUCGCCCCUGAUGCCCAACCUCGAGAGCUUCCCAUACAGCCAGCCGCCGCUCAGUACUGGAGCCUUCCCCACAGGGGUCACCGACCACAGUCACUUCAUGCCCCUGCUCAACCCCUCCCCGACGGACGCCGCCAGCUCCGUGGACACCCAGGCCAGCAACUGUAAGCCCAUGCAGAAGGACAAGAUCCCUGAAAACCUGCUGUCAGACCUCAGCCUGCAGAGCCUCACGGCACUGACCUCACAGGUAGAGAACAUCUCCAACACCGUGCAGCAGCUUCUGCUGUCCAAGGCUGCCGUACCGCAGAAGAAAGGGGUCAAGAACCUUGUGUCCAGGACUCCAGAGCAACACAAGAGCCAGCACUGCAGCCCUGAGGGCAGUGGCUACUCAGCCGAGCCAUCAGGCACGCCGCUGUCCGAGCCGCUGAGCAGCACCCCGCAGUCCACCCACGCUGAGCCGCAGGAGGCCGACUACCUGAGUGGCUCUGAGGACCCGCUGGAAAGAAGCUUCCUGUACUGUAGCCAGCCCCGUGGCAGCCCUGCCAGGGUCAACAGUAACUCGAAGGCCAAGCCUGAGUCUGUGUCCACCUGUUCUGUGACCUCACCUGAUGACAUGUCCACCAAAUCUGAUGAUUCCUUCCAGAGCUUGCACAGCACUCUGCCCCUGGACAGCUUCUCCAAGUUCGUGGCCGGUGAGCGGGACUGCCCUCGGCUGCUGCUGAGCGCCCUGGCACAGGAGGACCUGGCCUCCGAGAUCUUGGGGCUGCAGGAAGCCAUCGGCGAGAAGGCUGACAAGGCCUGGGCGGAAGCUCCCGGCCUGGCCAAGGACACCAGCAAGCCUCCCUUCUCGUUGGAGAACCACAGCGCCUGCCUGGACUCCGUAGCCAAGAACGUAUGGCCGCGGCCUGGGGAGCCAGAGACCCUGCCUGAUUCUCUGCAGCUGGACAAAGGUAGUGGCACCAAGGACUUCAGCCCCGGGCUCUUUGAAGACCCUUCUGUGGCCUUCGCCAGCCCUGAUCCCAAGAAGACAACUGGCCCUCUCUCCUUUGGCACCAAGCCCACCCUUGGGACUGCCGCUCCAGACCCCACCACCACAGCUUUUGACUGCUUCCCGGACACAACCACCGCCAGCUCAGCAGACAGUGCCAACCCCUUUGCCUGGCCGGAGGAGAACCUGGGCGAUGCCUGUCCCCGGUGGGGACUGCAUCCCAGUGAGCUUGCCAAAGGCCUGGAGCAGGGCGGAAAGGCCUCGGAUGGCGUGGGCAAAGGCGACAGCCACGAGGCUUCGGCCUGCCUGGGCUUCCAAGAGGACGAGCCCCCGGGGGAGGAGGCAGUCGCAAUGCCCAGGGACUUCAAGCAGGAGGCGGCGGGUGGGGUGAAGGAGGAGGUGGGCGGGAUGCUGCAGUGCCCCGAUGACGUGGGUAAGGCUGACCGGUGGCUGGAGGACAGCCGGCACUGCUGCUCUGCUGCGGACUUUGGGGACCUGCCACUGCUGCCGCCCCCAGGCAGGAAGGAGGACCUGGAGGCUGAGGAGGAGUACUCCUCCCUGUGUGAGCUGCUGGGCAGCCCGGAGCAGAGGCCCGGCAUGCAGGACCCGCUGUCCCCGAAGGCCCCCCUCAUCUGCACCAAGGAGGAGGUGGAAGAAGUGCUGGACUCCAAGGCCAGCUGGGGCUCCCCGUGCCACCUCUCUGGGGACUCUGUCAUCCUGCUGGGCCCCACCGUGGGUGCCGAGUCAAAGGUCCAGAGCUGGUUUGAGUCCUCCCUGUCCCACAUGAAGCCAGGGGAAGAGGGUCCUGAGGGGGAGCGGGCUCCCGGUGACUCCACCACCGCGGAAGCCUCCCGGGCCCAGAAGCCGAACAAGCCUGCCGUGCCCGAAGCACCCAUUGCUAAGAAAGAGCCUGUGCCCCGGGGUAAAAGUUUACGGAGCCGUCGGGUGCACCGGGGGCUGCCUGAGGCUGAGGACUCCCCGUGCAGGGCGCCAGUGCUGCCCAAAGACCUGUUGCUCCCUGAAUCCUGCACAGGGCCGCCCCAGGGACAGAUGGAAGGGGCCGGGGCGCCAGGCCGAGGCGCCUCAGAAGGGCUCCCCAGGAUGUGUACACGCUCCCUCACGGCCCUGAGUGAACCCCGCACGCCUGGACCUCCGGGCCUGACCACCACUCCCGCACCCCCUGACAAACUGGGGGGCAAGCAGCGAGCCGCCUUCAAAUCGGGCAAGAGGGUAGGGAAACCUUCGCCCAAGGCCGCAUCCAGCCCCAGCAACCCAGCUGCCCUGCCCGUGGCCUCAGACAGCAGUCCCAUGGGCUCCAAAACCAAGGAGACAGACUCGCCCAGUACUCCCAGCAAGGACCAGCGCUCUAUGAUCCUCCGGUCCCGCACGAAGCCCCAGGAGGUCUUCCACGCCAAGCGGAGACGGCCCUCGGAGAGCCGGCUCCCCAACUGCCGUGCCACCAAAAAGCUCCUCGCCAACAACCACCUGCCCACCGCAUUCAAAGUCUCCAGCAGUCCCCAGAAGGAGGGCAGGGUGAGCCAGCGGGCGAGGGUCCCCAAGCCCGGAACCGGGGUCAAGCUUUCUGAUCGGCCCCUCCACACCCUCAAAAGGAAGUCCACCUUCAUGGCGCCGGUCCCUACCAAGAAACGGAACCUAGUUUUACGGAGCAGCAGCAGCACCACCACCACCACCACCGGCAACGUGGAAGACGGGAAGGAGGAGAGGGCCGAGGACUCCCCCGCUCUCUUCAGGAGGGUGUCUUCCCCCAAAAAGACCAAGCCCAAGGGCAGCAGCGAGCCCAUCAUGAAGCCCUUGCCUCCGGAGAGCCCCGAAACCUGCAUGAAGCUCACCUCACGGGCGGCCUUCCAGGGCGCCAUGAAGACCAAGGUGCUGCCGCCCCGGAAGGGCCGGGGCCUGAAGCUGGAGGCCAUCGUGCAGAAGAUCACCUCACCUGGUCUCAAGAAGUUCACGUGCAAAGUGCCAGGGGCCCCUCCAGGGACACCUCUGAGCCCAGCCCUCCCGGAGAAGGAACGGGCUGGCCUGAAGAGUGCCGGGGGCAGCCCGGCAAGGGCGGAAGAAGGUCUCGUAAGCAUGGGCCCUGGGCAGAAGCUUCCAGCAGCUUUGGGAGCUGACCCAUUAUGCAGAAAUCCAGCCAACAGGUCCUUAAAAGGCAAGCUUGUGAACAGUAAGAAACUGUCCUCUGUUGACUGUUUCAAAACUGAGGCCUUCGCAUCCCCGGAGGCCCUGCAGCCUGGGGCAACCGCCCUGGCACCUAAGAAGAGGAGCCGGAAGGGCAGAGCGGGAGGCCUCGGACUCCCCAAAGGCCCCCUGGAGAAACGGCCCUACUUUGGUCCAACUCUGCUCCUCGGUCCCCGAGACAGGGCCGGCAGCACGCAGGCGGGGGGCGAGGACAGUUCUGGUGGGGGCAAGAAGCCAAAGACAGAGGAGCUGGGCCUGGCCGCCCAGCCCUCUGAGGGCCGGCCCUGCCAGCCCCAGACUAGGGCACAGAAGCAGCCAGGCCAUGCCAACUACAGCAGCUAUUCCAAGCGGAAGCGCCUCACCCGGGGCCGGGCCAAGAACACCAACGCUUCGCCCUGUAAGGGGCGUGCCAAGCGGAGGCGGCAGCAGCAGGUGCUCCCCCUGGAUCCUGCAGAGCCUGAAAUCCGCCUCAAGUACAUUUCCUCUUGCAAGCGACUGAGGGCAGACAGCCGGACCCCGGCCUUCUCGCCCUUCGUGCGGGUGGAGAAGCGAGACGCGUUCACCACGGUAUGCACUGUUGUCAACUCCCCAGGGGACGAGCCCAAGCCCCACAGGAAGCCUUCGUCCUCCACCUCCUCUUCCUCACCCUCCUCCUCCUUCUUGGAUGUGGCUGGGGCUUACCUGACCGCUCUGCCCGGAGGCUCCAUCCUGCAGUCACGGCCCUCCCUGCCUCUGUCCUCCAUGAUGCACCUGGGGCCUGUGGUUUCCAAGGCCCUGAGUACCUCUUGCCUUGUUUGCUGCCUCUGCCAAAACCCGGCCAACUUCAAGGACCUCGGAGACCUCUGUGGACCCUACUACCCUGAACACUGCCUCCCCAAAAAGAAGCCAAAACUCAAGGAGAAGGUGCGCACAGAAGGCACCUGCGAGGAGGUCCUGCUGCCCCUCGAGAGAACACUCAAGGGCCUUGAGUGUGCGGCUGCCCCCGCUGCCCCCGCUGCCGCUGCUGCCACUGCUCCCGGGAAGCCCCCCAGGCUUGACAGCCCAGCUGACCCGGCCAAGCAGGGCUCGCUGCGUACCAGUGCCCGUGGCCUGUCCCGGCGGCUGCAGAGUUGCUACUGUUGUGAUGGCCGGGGUGACGGGGGCGAGGAGAUGGCCCCCGUCGACAAGAGCCGCAAGCACGAGUGCAUCAAGGAGGCCCCCGCAGAGCCUGUCGGGGACACCCAGGAGCACUGGGUGCACGAGGCCUGCGCCGUGUGGACCGGCGGGGUCUACCUGGUGGCCGGGAAGCUCUUUGGGCUACAGGAGGCCAUGAAAGUGGCCAUGGACAUGGGCCGGUUCUGUAACUCCAGGAAGGCACUUGUCCUCUGUGAGCCCCAGAAGCCGAACCCAUCACAGGACUUCGAGAUUAUGCAGGUGGCCCGUGACCUGCCUGGACACAGCAGGGCUCGGUGCGCAGCUGAGGCCCCAGCCCCGCCUCGAGACACCUGUGGUACUUUGGCCUCCCUUCUGCUCUCUGGAGGACAAAACUCCUGUCAAAUUCCUGCCUCGAGGGUUGCUGGGGCCCCAACACAGGUGAAGAGAGAGGCCGUCAGCCGGAGGGGCCCCAGAGCUCCCCCUAAACGUCACAACGCCCCAAGGUCCACUGUGGAUGAGAGACUCAUGCUUCAUCACCCCUUUUUGGACAUGUUCCAGCUGCCAGGAGGCCGGGGCCACCAUCGGGUGCUCCUACAAAGGAUGCGUCCACACCUACCACUACCCGUGUGCCAGUGACGCAGGUUGCAUAUUCAUCGAAGAGAACUUUUCUUUGAAAUGUCCCAAACAUAAGAGGCUGCCGUUGUAAUCCACCGCAACAGCCGGAGGAGCCGCCGGAGCCGGAGCCGGAGCGGCCGGCCGCCGAAGGAAAGGAGCCGCCCGCGCGGCGAGGCCUUGGAGUUGCUCCCAGCGCGCGACCGGAGCUGAUCCUUGAUCCGGGUGCCGGGUCUUGGAUCCGGCCAC